CGCUGUUUUGUACUGUUUUUGUACUUGUUUUGAUUAUUAUUAUUUCUUGAUUGUAUGUAAAUGCUGCAGAUUAUAAAUAAAGGUUUAUAAAAAUAAUUAAAAAAAUACAAAUAAAAAAAAACUCUCCCACCUCUAUGCACCUGGGAAUAGGCCCUUUUCCACCGCGACCAUGAACCUGUCCCGGGGGCGGGCUGUGGUGUCGAACGCUGAUUGGUUGAACGCAGUUGGGGGCGGUCCUAAAACUUAUUUUUCAAACACACGACCGCCAUUACAAUAUGCUCGACGACUUGUUUAUUUCCAGAGUAUUUCUAUUACACUUAACUUGACAACGGAGCGAAAGAAGAACGAGAGGAGCUUUCGAAAUGUGGGGCAUCUUUGUGCUGAAGAACGAACGCAGUGUUUUUACUCAGCCGUAGUCUUUUACGCACUUUAUUGUUGUUUAUUAGUUUUUCCAAGCUUCAUUUCAAUACCCAAAGCUACGAGAAGCGGCGACCUCAGCUGUUUACUACUCUGACUUUGUUGGAUAAAUGUAGGGCAAAAAGGAGGCUGCACACGACUGGAACUAAGGGAAAUAGUGAAUGACAGCAAGGUUGCCAUGAGAUUGAAGUCUGAAUGAACAUGAUGACGUCAGCUUGUCAGUGUGACGUUCCCACAGCAGGCUGCCUGAGCGGUGGGAGCCUUUAAUUCAUCAAAGUGGGAAGGAGCUGAGAGACGGGAAAGGGAAAGAAAUGACAGGCAGAGCCUCUGGGUGAGCAGACAAAAGCUAUCCAUCAUAAUCCUGCAGCCCGAUGAAGCAAUGCACCUCUUGGCCUUUUGCUGCUCCCGUGUGAGAGACAUCCGUGACCCCGAACAUCCACUGACCGCCUGUGGUGACGUUGGCUCUUGCGCACCGUGCGCUGCUUAAAAAAAAACCCACUUUAUUUAUGUUGCAUGUCUUUCUAGUCUGCACACUGCACAACUAUAAGUAUUUUUCCGUUCCGCAUGCGUGCAGCCAUAGUUUAACUCACCAUAGAUCUUGAUUUAGCCACAAAAAAGGUUUCUUCAAAUCUUAAAAAGUAACAGUGUAUUUAAAUAAUUACGCACAAAAAAAAUGUUGGGUUAAAAAAUAACCCAAUUUUAACCCCGAUUCAGAAAAGGACGAACCCCUUUAUUUUGGUUAUUCUAACUCAACAUUUUGGGUUGAUUUUUUUCAACCCAACAUUUGCGUUGAAUUAUUAAACCCAAAAAGUUGAGUUAUGCCAACUAAAUGUUGGGUUA
Nerophis lumbriciformis (worm pipefish) is the source of this 1257-nucleotide long non-coding RNA. RefSeq lists it as uncharacterized. NCBI's taxonomy places the organism in Eukaryota, Metazoa, Chordata, Actinopteri, Syngnathiformes, Syngnathidae. The record is from RefSeq and is a predicted model, not a curated record.